CUCCAAGUGAGUUUGCCACGAGCACCUGGAGGAGCCUGCUUGCUAGCCUCCUGCCCACAAACUAUGGGCCCUGCAGGGAAACCUGUAAAAGACUACCAAACUUGACCGACCGUUAGCACUGAUUUCAUGGAACUGUUUUGGGCAUAGGACCAUGUGCACGGUCAGUCAAAAUUAUGACUUCCAGGAAAUUCCUGAACCCCUGAACUGAUCUGG
This is a non-coding RNA of Pelobates cultripes (western spadefoot toad), 213 nucleotides long. Lineage: Eukaryota; Metazoa; Chordata; Amphibia; Anura; Pelobatidae. The record is from the annotation of a GenBank genome assembly.